UCAGCUUCGUCUUCAAGCAUAGGAACCUAUUUCAAAUUUCGUCUUCGUCUUUGCAUAACACUUGAAGGCAAGCUUUUGUUUCGUCUUCAAGCCUUCAGAGAAAAACAUUCUGCCCACCAAAGAGAAUCCAUUUCUCAUUUCAUCUUCAAGCCAAGCCUCCAUUUUUGUCUUCAAGCCUCUAGUUUCAGAACUCAUUCCGUCGCCUCCUUCAAAUAGCCUCUAUCCCAGUUCGAGAAACCCACACUUCCGUCGACUCCCCCUUUGGUCGCCACCCCUUUAGACCCAUUCCGUGGCCUCCCUUCAAGCCUCUGUCCUAGUUCGAAAAGCUUCUGUCGACUCACCAUUGUCACGCCGAAAGGGACCUAUGGCAAAUGCUUGUCUGGGAUUGAUGAUUCAAAGCAAAUGACUAGGGAAGGUUCUUUGCAUUUGACCGCUUUGCGAGAUGAUGCUAAUCAGGUUGGGCAUUCUUGUAGAUUUUUUAGUUGGUAUGAUCCGGAAAUCCUACCAUAUGGUGA
Long non-coding RNA from Juglans microcarpa x Juglans regia, 515 nucleotides. RefSeq lists it as uncharacterized. The transcript is spliced from 3 exons. The record is from RefSeq and is a predicted model, not a curated record. NCBI's taxonomy places the organism in Eukaryota, Viridiplantae, Streptophyta, Magnoliopsida, Fagales, Juglandaceae.